CCUUGUUAUUAAAAUUUUUUAAUGUUCUUAUCAGGAAUUGGUGGAAAACAAUCCCCUGAUUGCAGUUGAAGUUCUUACCAAGUUAAUAAAUUCUCCAGAAAUUGCCGACUAUUUUACAGUUCUUGUCAAUAUGGAAAUGAGCCUACACUCAAUGGAAGUUGUGAACAGGCUAACAACAGCAGUAGAACUUCCUAGGGAAUUUAUUCGCAUGUAUAUCACUAACUGUAUAUCAUCUUGUGAGAGCAUUAAGGACAAGUACAUGCAGAACAGACUUGUACGACUUGUAUGUGUUUUCUUGCAGAGUUUAAUCCGAAACAGAAUUAUUGACGUGAAGGAUCUUUUUAUUGAAGUUCAAGCUUUUUGCAUUGAGUUUUCGCGGAUUCGGGAGGCAGCUGGCUUAUUUAGGCUUCUUAAAACCUUGGAAUGACCUGCAUCUCAAUUCUUAAAAAUGAUGCCUGGUAAAAAAAGUUAUUACGUUCUGUUUCAAUCUCUAUUAUGUUUUGUGUUUUGUAGAUAAUAAUGUUGUCAUUUGUUUUUCAAGUAUAUUUUAGGUUUGUCAAAUCACAGUUUUCCAUAUGAAAAGUGAGAUGAUUUUUCAUUUUGUUUCUAACUUCCAACUAAUGUGAACGAAAACUGGGUUAACAGUUAGCCA
This is a non-coding RNA of Carica papaya (papaya), 652 nucleotides long. Lineage: Eukaryota; Viridiplantae; Streptophyta; Magnoliopsida; Brassicales; Caricaceae. The record is from RefSeq and is a predicted model, not a curated record.